GACGAACGCUGGCGGCGUGCCUAAUACAUGCAAGUCGAGCGGACGAAUCGAAAGCUUGCUUUUGAUUCGUUAGCGGCGGACGGGUGAGUAACACGUGGGCAACCUGCCCUGUAGACGGGGAUAACACCGAGAAAUCGGUGCUAAUACCGGAUAACACGAAAUGUCGCAUGACGUUUCGUUGAAAGACGGCGCAAGCUGUCGCUACAGGAUGGGCCCGCGGCGCAUUAGCUAGUUGGUGAGGUAACGGCUCACCAAGGCGACGAUGCGUAGCCGACCUGAGAGGGUGAUCGGCCACACUGGGACUGAGACACGGCCCAGACUCCUACGGGAGGCAGCAGUAGGGAAUCUUCCGCAAUGGACGAAAGUCUGACGGAGCAACGCCGCGUGAGUGAAGAAGGUUUUCGGAUCGUAAAACUCUGUUGUUAAAGAAGAACGAGGAUGAGAGUAACUGCUCAUCCCCUGACGGUAUUUAACCAGAAAGCCACGGCUAACUACGUGCCAGCAGCCGCGGUAAUACGUAGGUGGCAAGCGUUGUCCGGAUUUAUUGGGCGUAAAGCGAGCGCAGGCGGUUCUUUAAGUCUGAUGUGAAAGCCCCCGGCUCAACCGGGGAGGGUCAUUGGAAACUGGAGAACUUGAGUGCAGAAGAGGAGAGUGGAAUUCCACGUGUAGCGGUGAAAUGCGUAGAUAUGUGGAGGAACACCAGUGGCGAAGGCGACUCUCUGGUCUGUAACUGACGCUGAGGCUCGAAAGCGUGGGGAGCAAACAGG
Molecule: ribosomal RNA, 767 nt
Filed under: uncultured Carnobacterium sp.
Lineage: Bacteria; Bacillati; Bacillota; Bacilli; Lactobacillales; Carnobacteriaceae
Description: bacterial SSU rRNA
Rfam family: Bacterial small subunit ribosomal RNA
Source: RNAcentral